This 473-nucleotide ribosomal RNA is filed under the name uncultured bacterium. RNAcentral describes it as "partial 16S ribosomal RNA". It matches the Rfam family "Bacterial small subunit ribosomal RNA", at positions 355 to 822 of the family's 1533-position model. The record is from RNAcentral.
UGGGGAAUAUUGCACAAUGGGCGCAAGCCUGAUGCAGCCAUGCCGCGUGUGUGAAGAAGGCCUUCGGGUUGUAAAGCACUUUCAGCGAGGAGGAAGGUGGUGAGCUUAAUACGCUCAUCAAUUGACGUUACUCGCAGAAGAAGCACCGGCUAACUCCGUGCCAGCAGCCGCGGUAAUACGGAGGGUGCAAGCGUUAAUCGGAAUUACUGGGCGUAAAGCGCACGCAGGCGGUUCGUUAAGUCAGAUGUGAAAUCCCCGGGCUCAACCUGGGAACUGCAUUUGAAACUGGCAAGCUAGAGUCUCGUAGAGGGGGGUAGAAUUCCAGGUGGUAGCGGUGAAAUGCGUAGAGAUCUGGAGGAAUACCGGUGGCGAAGGCGGCCCCCUGGACGAAGACUGACGCUCAGGUGCGAAAGCGUGGGAGCAAACAGAUUAGAUACCCUGGUAGUCACGCUGUAAACGAUGUCGAUUUUGGA